This 996-nucleotide ribosomal RNA is filed under the name uncultured Glomus. RNAcentral's name for it is "bacterial SSU rRNA". The stretch from base 1 to 456 matches the Rfam family "Eukaryotic small subunit ribosomal RNA", at positions 1357 to 1831 of the family's 1831-position model. The record is from RNAcentral. Lineage: Eukaryota; Fungi; Glomeromycota; Glomeromycetes; Glomerales; Glomeraceae.
AGCUAGGUCUAACAUUGUUAGGUCGUCAGCUUCUUAGAGGGACUAUCGGUGUUUAACCGAUGGAAGUUUGAGGCAAUAACAGGUCUGUGAUGCCCUUAGAUGUUCUGGGCCGCACGCGCGCUACACUGAUGAAGUCAACGAGUAAAUUUCCUUUGUCGAAAGAUAUGGGUAAUCUUCUGAAACUUCAUCGUGAUGGGGAUAGAGCAUUGCAAUUAUUGCUCUUCAACGAGGAAUCCCUAGUAAGCACAAGUCAUCAGCUUGUGUUGAUUACGUCCCUGCCCUUUGUACACACCGCCCGUCGCUACUACCGAUUGAAUGGCUUAGUGAGACCUUCGGAUCGGCAUUCAGAAGUUGGAAACAACAUUUGUUUGCUGAAAAGUUGUUCAAACUUGGUCAUUUAGAGGAAGUAAAAGUCGUAACAAGGUUUCCGUAGGUGAACCUGCGGAAGGAUCAUUAAUGAUUUUUUAAAGCAAACCAAAGCGAAAGCGAAGGUUUUGCGAAUAUAUUUAAAACCCCCACACUUAAAAAAAAAUUUUUUCAUUCAUAAAUAUGAAUAAAAAAGAUCACUUUCAACAACGGAUCUCUUGGCUCUCGCAUCGAUGAAGAACGCAGCGAAAUGCGAUAAGUAGUGUGAAUUGCAGAAUUACGUGAAUCAUCGAAUCUUUGAACGCAAAUUGCACUCUCUGGUAUUCCGGGGAGUAUGCCUGUUUGAGGGUCAUAGUAAACCCAUCGAUUUUCAUUGCUUUUUUUUUUAAGGUGAUGUUUUAUCGGAUUUGGGCCGUCUUUUUUUUUUUAAAAAUAUUAAAGUGGCUUAAAAUUGAUUUUAUCUGGUAUGAUUAAGCGUAUUUUAUGAUCAAUUUUUGAUUUAAGAAACGCGUACGUACCAUCACAUGAUGUAAUACGUUUGACUAUUUGAUUUAGUUCAUUCGUAUACGAUUUUUUUUAAUGCUUGACCUCAAAUCAGGUAAGAAUACCCGCUGAACUUAAGCAUAUCAA